AGUCGAGCGACAGAGAAGGAGCUUGCUCCUUUGACGUUAGCGGCGGACCUUUGAGAAACACGUGGGCAACCUACCUUAUAGUUUGGGAUCCCUCCGGGAAACCGGGGCUAAUACCGAAUAAUCUAUUUUACUUCAUGGUGAAAUACUGAAAGACGGUUUCGGCUGUCCCUAUAAGAUGGGCCCGCGGCGCAUUAGCUAGUUGGUGAGGUAACGGCUCACCAAGGCGACGAUGCGUAGCCGACCUGAGAGGGUGAUCGGCCACACUGGGACUGAGACACGGCCCAGACUCCUACGGGAGGCAGCAGUAGGGAAUCUUCCACAAUGGGCGAAAGCCUGAUGGAGCAACGCCGCGUGAGUGAAGAAGGUUUUCGGAUCGUAAAACUCUGUUGUAAGGGAAGAACAAGUACAGUAGUAACUGGCUGUACCUUGACGGUACCUUAUUAGAAAGCCACGGCUAACUACGUGCCAGCAGCCGCGGUAAUACGUAGGUGGCAAGCGUUGUCCGGAAUUAUUGGGCGUAAAGCGCGCGCAGGCGGUCCUUUAAGUCUGAUGUGAAAGCCCACGGCUCAACCGUGGAGGGUCAUUGGAAACUGGGGGACUUGAGUGCAGAAGAAGAAAGUGGAAUUCCAAGUGUAGCGGUGAAAUGCGUAGAGAUUUGGAGGAACACCAGUGGCGAAGGCGACUUUCUGGUCUGUAACUGACGCUGAGGCGCGAAAGCGUGGGGAGCAAACAGGAUUAGAUACCCUGGUAGUCCAACGCCGUAAACGAUGAGUGCUAAAUGUUAGGGGGUUUUCGCCCCUUAGUGCUGCAACUAACGCAUUAAACACUCCCCCUUGGGAGUACGGUUGCCAGACUGAAAAUCAAAAGAAAUUACGGGGGGCCCCCCCAACGGUGGAGCAAGUGGUUUUAUUUGAAACAACCCGAAGAACCCUUCCCGGUCUUGACAUCCCCUUUGCCCCCGUAAAAAAAAGGUUUUUCCUUUCGGGACCACGGUGACAAGUGGUGCAUGGUUGUUGUCAACUCGUGUCGUGAGAUGUUGGGUUAAGUCCCGCAACGAGCGCCACCCUUGAUUUUAGUUGCCAUCAUUUAAUUGGGCCCUUUAAGGUGACUGCCGGUGACAAACCGGAGGAAGGUGGGGAAGACGUCAAAUCAUCAUUCCCCUUAUGACCUUGGCUACACCCCUGCUACAAUGGACGAUACAAACGGUUGCCAACCCGCGAGAAGGAACUAAUUCCAUAAAGGCGUUCUCAGUUCGGAUUGUAGGCUGCAACUUGCCUACAAGAAACCGGAAUCCCUAGUAAUUGCGGAUCCUCCUUAAGGGGUGAAUACGUUCCCCGGCCUUGUACACCCCCCCCCUUAAAGCCCGAGAAUUUUAACCCCCGAAAUCGGUGGGGUACCUUUUGGAGCCAGCCG
RNAcentral lists this ribosomal RNA (1413 nucleotides) under Lysinibacillus sp. H63. RNAcentral describes it as "partial 16S ribosomal RNA". It matches the Rfam family "Bacterial small subunit ribosomal RNA". The record is from RNAcentral. Lineage: Bacteria; Bacillati; Bacillota; Bacilli; Caryophanales; Bacillaceae.